UGGGGAAUUUUGGACAAUGGGGGAAACCCUGAUCCAGCCAUCCCGCGUGUGCGAUGAAGGCCUUCGGGUUGUAAAGCACUUUUGGCAGGAAAGAAACGUCGCGGGUUAAUACCCCGCGAAACUGACGGUACCUGCAGAAUAAGCACCGGCUAACUACGUGCCAGCAGCCGCGGUAAUACGUAGGGUGCAAGCGUUAAUCGGAAUUACUGGGCGUAAAGCGUGCGCAGGCGGUUCGGAAAGAAAGAUGUGAAAUCCCAGAGCCUAACUUUGGAACUGCAUUUUUAACUACCGGGCUAGAGUGUGUCAGAGGGAGGUGGAAUUCCGCGUGUAGCAGUGAAAUGCGUAGAUAUGCGGAGGAACACCGAUGGCGAAGGCAGCCUCCUGGGAUAACACUGACGCUCAUGCACGAAAGCGUGGGGAGCAAACAGGAUUAGAUACCCUGGUAGUCCACGCCCUAAACGAUGUCAACUAGCUGUUGGGGCCUUCGGGCCUUGGUAGCGCAGCUAACGCGUGAAGUUGACCGCCUGGGGAGUACGGUCGCAAGGUUAAAACUCAAAUGAAUUGACGGGGUCAUAGCUGUUUCC
RNAcentral lists this ribosomal RNA (584 nucleotides) under uncultured bacterium. RNAcentral describes it as "partial 16S ribosomal RNA". It matches the Rfam family "Bacterial small subunit ribosomal RNA", at positions 355 to 937 of the family's 1533-position model. The record is from RNAcentral.